This is a non-coding RNA of Candidatus Nomurabacteria bacterium, 126 nucleotides long. The record is from Rfam. Lineage: Bacteria; Candidatus Nomuraibacteriota.
GUCAAGUCAAGGGAGCCGGGAGUACCCGAAGUAUCCACAUAAGUGGGUCCUAAGGUAAGCUCGGUGACAGGGACUAAGUCGUAACAAGGCACGGCUAGCGGAAGCUGGUCGUGGAAUAAUUCAAUU